GGACCAGAGAAGCACCAAGCUGUGGCACUUCGUGUUAGCGCAGACCAAUCAGUCAUUAACCAUUGUCGCAUUGACGUAUACCAAGACACCUUCUAUGCACACAACUAUAGACAGUUCUAUGGAGAUUGCUCCAUAAUUGGAACCAUUGACUUCACAUUUGGUAGUGCAGCUGUUGUUCUCCAGAAUUGCCAAAUUAUCUCUAGAAAGCCUAUGGCAAACCAGAAAAAUAUGGUCACUGCACAGGGUGGGAUAGACCCAAAUCAAAACACUG
Molecule: unclassified non-coding RNA, 271 nt
Filed under: Hevea brasiliensis (rubber tree)
Lineage: Eukaryota; Viridiplantae; Streptophyta; Magnoliopsida; Malpighiales; Euphorbiaceae
Source: RNAcentral